This is a non-coding RNA of Ictidomys tridecemlineatus (thirteen-lined ground squirrel), 72 nucleotides long. The record is from Rfam. Lineage: Eukaryota; Metazoa; Chordata; Mammalia; Rodentia; Sciuridae.
UGGGUUGUGGCUCAGCGGUAGAGCGCGCAUCUCACAUGUGCAGGACCCUGGGUUCGAUCCUCAGCACCACGU